AUGGCACUGCAGAUGCAGGCCCCGUCGCUGACGCGCGCGCCGGCGGGGAGCCCCGCGCGGCUCCGGUCGGCGUUCUGCGCGCCGCCGCUGCUUGUGCGGGUCCGGCUGCCAGCGCCGGGCAGGGCGAGGUCCGCGGCGGCGGCGCGGAUCACGAUGCGGUUCGGCCGCGUUGAGACGAAGCAGGCCUACAUCUGCCGGGACUGCGGGUACAUAUACAAGGACAAGACCCCGUUUGAGAAGCUGUCCGAUGACUACUACUGCCCUGUCUGUGCCGCUCCCAAGAGAAGAUUCAGGCCUUACGAACCACCGGUGGCCAAGAACGCCAACGCCACUGAUGCCCGGAAGGCGAGGAAGGAGCAGCUCAAAAAGGACGAGACCGUGGGGAAAGCUUUGCCUAUUGGUAUCGCAGUUGGAAUCGUUGCAUUGGCGGCCCUGUUCUUCUACCUGAACAGUGUCUACUAG
RNAcentral lists this ribosomal RNA (462 nucleotides) under Triticum aestivum (bread wheat). RNAcentral's name for it is "partial small subunit ribosomal RNA". The record is from RNAcentral. Lineage: Eukaryota; Viridiplantae; Streptophyta; Magnoliopsida; Poales; Poaceae.